CCUAUCCACCGAAUGAGUAAGGUUUCCCCCGGAAGGCUCGUCCGCGGGGGGUUAGUCGGGACCUAAGGCGAGGCUGAAAAGCGUAGUCGAUGGACAACAGGUUGAUAUUCCUGUACCGAUAUUUAAUUGCCGAAGGAAGGACGCAGAAGGAUAACACAGGCCACUAUUGGAUGUGGUUUUAAACAGUUAGUCUUCAUAAGAGUCAAAUGCUUUUAUGUUUAAGGAUAAGCUGUGAAUGUACCAAGUUUACUUGGAAAUUGUGUGAUUUCACGCUGCUGAAAAAAGUUUCGUAGGAAGAAAAUAUUGCCCGUACCGCAAACCGACACAGGUACUCGAGUGGAGAACACUAAGGUGAGCGAGUGAACUAUUGUUAAGGAACUCUGCAAAAUGAGUCCGUAACUUCGGAAGAAGGACUGCUGGUUUUAUACCAGCCGCAGCAAAUAGGCCCAAACAACUGUUUAUCAAAAACACAGGUUUCUGCAAAAUCGUAAGAUGAAGUAUAGGGGCUGACGCCUGCCCAGUGCUGGAAGGUUAAAAGGAGGACUUAGCUUCGGCGAAGGUCUUAAUUGAAGCCCCAGUGAACGGCGGCCGUAACUAUAACGGUCCUAAGGUAGCGAAAUUCCUUGUCGGGUAAGUUCCGACCCGCAUGAAAGGCGUAAUGAUUUGGGCGCUGUCUCAACAAUAGACUCGGUGAAAUUUAAAUUCCAGUGAAGAUGCUGGGUACCCGCGACAGGACGGAAAGACCCCGUGGAGCUUUACUGUAGCUUGAUAUUGAAUGUUUGUGCUGCAUGUGCAGGAUAGGUAGGAGACUUUGAAGUCGGAACGCUAGUUUCGAUUGAGUCACCCUUGAGAUACUACCUCUGUUGUAUGAACGUUCUAACUCUGAUCAGUUAUCCUGAUCGAAGACAGUGUCUGGCAGGCAGUUUGACUGGGGCGGUCGCCUCCUAAAAGAUAACGGAGGCGCUCAAAGGUUUGCUCAGAAUGGUUGGAAAUCAUUCGUAGCGUGUAAAGGCAUAAGCAAGCUUGACUGUGAGACUGACAAGUCGAGCAGGUACGAAAGUAGGACUUAGUGAUCCGGUGGUUCCGUAUGGAAGGGCCAUCGCUCAACGGACAAAAGCUACCCCGGGGAUAACAGGCUCAUCUCCCCCAAGAGUCCACAUCGACGGGGAGGUUUGGCACCUCGAUGUC
RNAcentral lists this ribosomal RNA (1188 nucleotides) under Oenococcus oeni. Its description in RNAcentral is "bacterial LSU rRNA". It matches the Rfam family "Bacterial large subunit ribosomal RNA", at positions 1329 to 2533 of the family's 2925-position model. Lineage: Bacteria; Bacillati; Bacillota; Bacilli; Lactobacillales; Lactobacillaceae. The record is from RNAcentral.